AGAGUGAACGCUGGCGGUAGGCCUAACACAUGCAAGUCGAACGGCAGCACGGUAAGAGCUUGCUCUUAUGGGUGGCGAGUGGCGGACGGGUGCGGAAUACAUCGGAAUCUACCUUUUGGUGGGGGAUAACGUAGGGAAACUUACGCUAAUACCGCAUACGCCCUUCGGGGGAAAGCCGGGGACCAGCAAUGGCCUGGCGCUGAUAGGAUGGACGCGUAGU
This 220-nucleotide ribosomal RNA is filed under the name uncultured soil bacterium. Its description in RNAcentral is "partial 16S ribosomal RNA". It matches the Rfam family "Bacterial small subunit ribosomal RNA", at positions 26 to 239 of the family's 1533-position model. The record is from RNAcentral.